This 460-nucleotide ribosomal RNA is filed under the name uncultured bacterium. RNAcentral describes it as "partial 16S ribosomal RNA". It matches the Rfam family "Bacterial small subunit ribosomal RNA", at positions 338 to 795 of the family's 1533-position model. The record is from RNAcentral.
CCUACGGGGGGCAGCAGUGAGGAAUAUUGGUCAAUGGACGCAAGUCUGAACCAGCCAUGCCGCGUGCAGGAAGACGGCUCUAUGAGUUGUAAACUGCUUUUGUACGAGGGUAAAUCCCGAUACGUGUAUCGGGUUGAAAGUAUCGUACGAAUAAGGAUCGGCUAACGCCGUGCCAGCAGCCGCGGUAAUAAGGAGGAUUCAAGGGUUAUCCGGAUUUUUUGGGUUUAAAGGGUGCGUAGGCGGUUCGGUAAGUUAGAGGUGAAAUUCCGGGGCUCAACUCCGGCACUGCCUUUGAUACUGUCGGGCUAGAGUUUGGGUGCGGUAGGCGGAAUGUAUGGUGUAGCGGUGAAAUGCUUAGAGAUCAUACAGAACACCGAUUGCGAAGGCAGCUUACCAGGCUACUUCUGACGUUGAGGCACGAAAGCGUGGGGAGCAAACAGGAUUAGAUACCCCGGUAGUC